Molecule: ribosomal RNA, 253 nt
Filed under: Flintibacter butyricus
Lineage: Bacteria; Bacillati; Bacillota; Clostridia; Eubacteriales
Description: partial 16S ribosomal RNA
Rfam family: Bacterial small subunit ribosomal RNA
Source: RNAcentral
UACGUAGGUGGCAAGCGUUGUCCGGAUUUACUGGGUGUAAAGGGCGUGUAGGCGGGAAGAUAAGUCAGGCGUGAAAACCAGAGGCUCAACCUCUGGCCUGCGUUUGAAACUGUUUUUCUUGAGUACUGGAGAGGUUGACGGAAUUCCUAGUGUAGCGGUGAAAUGCGUAGAUAUUAGGAGGAACACCAGUGGCGAAGGCGGUCAACUGGACAGCAACUGACGCUGAGGCGCGAAAGCGUGGGGAGCAAACAGG